RNAcentral lists this non-coding RNA (67 nucleotides) under unclassified sequences. RNAcentral's name for it is "DUF3800-VIII RNA". It matches the Rfam family "DUF3800-VIII RNA". From Rfam's summary of the family: Bacteroidetes, Cyanobacteria, Firmicutes, Planctomycetes (1 example), Proteobacteria, Tenericutes (1 example). Nearby to DUF3800 The record is from Rfam by way of RNAcentral.
AAAGUCCUGCUCCUAUGCGAAGGCCUUAGUUCCACUUUGGCGGUUUAUGUAGCAUAAGCGGGGCUUU